This 254-nucleotide ribosomal RNA is filed under the name uncultured bacterium. RNAcentral describes it as "partial 16S ribosomal RNA". It matches the Rfam family "Bacterial small subunit ribosomal RNA", at positions 524 to 776 of the family's 1533-position model. The record is from RNAcentral.
UACGUAGGGUGCAAGCGUUGUCCGGAAUUAUUGGGCGUAAAGAGCUCGUAGGCGGCCUGUCGCGUCGGCUGUGAAAACCCGAGGCUCAACCUCGGGCCUGCAGUCGAUACGGGCAGGCUAGAGUUCGGUAGGGGAGACUGGAAUUCCUGGUGUAGCGGUGAAAUGCGCAGAUAUCAGGAGGAACACCGGUGGCGAAGGCGGUUCUCUGGGCAGUUACCUGACGCUGAGGAGCGAAAGUGUGGGGAGCGAACAGG